ACCUCUAUAAGGGUGUCGACUUUAUUUUUUAAAAUAGCAACAUACACAAUUAACUAGUUUAUUGAAUAAAUAAUGAUUAGAUUAAGAAAAUGACUGGUCAAUAACAGAUUUUGGUCAGUAUUUCGGAAAUGAUAAGCAUUUUAAAAUAUAGACGGAUUGAGGUACAGUUAAGUAAUUCUUAUAAAUAUUUGAUAAUCGAUAAAAUAUUCUCAAGUAUCCAUAAAAUAAUUUUUUUGUAACUUUAUGUUGAAUGAAUCGUUCACUAUCUUACUUUCGUCAGGAUGCUCAGUAAUAUAGUCACAGUAAUAAUAUGCAAAACGUAUAAAUCUAGUUUGUAAUCAUUACGCAUCAUUCUACGCACUACUUUUCUCAUUCAGGAGAAAUUAUGUGGCCAACGGUAAAUCAAUCAUACUCUAUAUGUGUAUAAGUUUAAGACUUUCCUGAAAAUAUAUUCUAAAUAUAUUUGACAAGUGUCAACUUAAUUGUAGGGAUUUUCGUUUGAGGAUAGAAAAAAAUAAACGCACAUACUGAUGAUGGAUAUCUAAAAAAAAAUACGGAAAUAAGUAUUAUGAUUUAGGUAAGUACUCCUGUUGACUUUAUUUGUUUAGUAUAAUUCAUCAAUCAAUAAAGAACAUGUUUAUCCAAAAAUAAAUAAAUAAGAGUAGCAAUCAACUUUUAUCAUAAAUCAUCCAUUUGAU
Daktulosphaira vitifoliae (grape phylloxera) is the source of this 698-nucleotide long non-coding RNA. RefSeq lists it as uncharacterized. The transcript has 3 exons. Lineage: Eukaryota; Metazoa; Arthropoda; Insecta; Hemiptera; Phylloxeridae. The record is from RefSeq and is a predicted model, not a curated record.